Corticium candelabrum is the source of this 866-nucleotide long non-coding RNA. RefSeq lists it as uncharacterized. The record is from RefSeq and is a predicted model, not a curated record. Lineage: Eukaryota; Metazoa; Porifera; Homoscleromorpha; Homosclerophorida; Plakinidae. The transcript has 3 exons.
CACGUUUUAAAAACGUCCUAUUUCUUCGUUCCAACAUUACUGCGAUUUUCAUGUCUUGUAGUGCGCAACAAGCGGAGUUGUCUUCAAGACGUGGUUUGUAAUCCAUGGUCAAGUAGAGAUUUGUAGUAACCAAUCUUUUGUACACGUUUUAUGAUGAUACUGCAGAUUCGGAGAAAGUGUGCUUUGUUGUGGAGUGGUGCGAUGAGCCGGGCCACUACACCGUCGUUCCUAGAAAUUAGAUCGAGAGCCAACCACCAUUUCUGGUUGGUGGCAGCGUGUGUGUAAAGGCGACAGGUUCACGUGGGCAGAGUGUGAAGUACGAUGACAAGAUACUGUCCAAAGGAAGCAAGGCAGCCAUGGAGAGUACACUAGCUCGCCUGGUUGAAAACUCUACAACUAAUGUGAGCCAGCUAGAAAUGAGCAAGCAAGAGGCAGCUACUGAUUGUGUAGACAAAGAGAGGUAUUUGCAAGAAAUUCACUGUGAACUAUUUAUAAUAUGCUGCGGUAUCUGGUCUUCAUUACAGUAUAUCUGGCAAAGAACCUCUUCAACGUCAUUCAAAAAGUAUAAAUAACGGUCACAAUUAUUAGAAGACUUGGACAUAAGCUUACUGUCUAGGACAUAUAACAAUUUUAAAUUGAUUUGGUUUUGUAAUAGUUGAGAAUUAUUCCUUAUUUCUUUCUAACUUGGCCCUUUUGGAUUGUAGAGAAAUGUGCGAAAAGGAAUGCUGAAGAGAAGUCUGAGCAUCUGCCUUCAUCAAAGAGCCAGUUAUGGGACAGAUAUACGGACACAUUGAUACCAAAAAACAAAGAGAAGGAUAGCCAGCGUCAUUUUGAUGAGUACAGGUGCUUGUCACCAAAUUAUGAAG